RNAcentral lists this ribosomal RNA (305 nucleotides) under uncultured bacterium. RNAcentral describes it as "bacterial SSU rRNA". It matches the Rfam family "Bacterial small subunit ribosomal RNA", at positions 334 to 655 of the family's 1533-position model. The record is from RNAcentral.
UACUCCCUACGGGAGGCGGUAGUGGGGAAUAUUGCACAAUGGGGGAAACCCUGAUGCAGCGACGCCGCGUGAGUGAAGAAGUAUUUCGGUAUGUAGAGCUCUAUCAGCAGGGAAGAAAAUGACGGUACCUGACUAAGAAGCCCCGGCUAACUACGUGCCAGCAGCCGCGGUAAUACGGAGGGGGCAAGCGUUAUCCGGAUUUACUGGGUGUAAAGGGAGCGUAGACGGCGCGGCAAGUCUGAAGUGAAAGGCAGGGGCUUAACCCCUGAACUGCUUUGGAAACUGCCAUGCUAGAGUGCUGGAGG